This 524-nucleotide ribosomal RNA is filed under the name uncultured archaeon. RNAcentral's name for it is "bacterial SSU rRNA". It matches the Rfam family "Archaeal small subunit ribosomal RNA", at positions 339 to 864 of the family's 1478-position model. The record is from RNAcentral.
UCGCGCAAACUUUGCAAUACACGAAAGUGUGACAGGGCUAUCCCGAGUGCCGUCCGCUGAGGAUGGCUUUUAACCAGUCUAGAAAGCUGGUAGAAUAAGGAGAGGGCAAGUCUGGUGUCAGCCGCCGCGGUAAUACCAGCUCUCCGAGUGGUGUGGAUGUUUAUUGGGCCCAAAGCAUCCGUAGCUGGCCAAGCAAGUCCCUUGUUAAACCCACCGAAUUAAUCGUUGGCGUGCGGGGGAUACUGCUCGGCUAGGGGACGGGAGAGGCAGACGGUAUUCUCGGGGUAGGGGUGAAAUCCUAUAAUCCCGAGAAGACCACCAGUGGCGAAGGCGGCUUGCCAGAACGCGCUCGACGGUGAGGGAUGAAAGCUGGGGGAGCAAACCGGAUUAGAUACCCGGGUAGUCCCAGCUGUAAACGAUGCAGACUCGGUGAUGGGCUGGCUUCGUGCCAACCCGGUGCCGCAGGGAAGCCGUUAAGUCUGCCGCCUCGGGGAGUACGGUCGCAAGACUGAAACUUAAAGGAA